UGGGGAAUAUUGCACAAUGGGCGAAAGCCUGAUGCAGCAACGCCGCGUGAGUGAUGAAGGCCUUCGGGUUGUAAAGCUCUGUCUUUUGGGACGAUAAUGACGGUACCAAAGGAGGAAGCCACGGCUAACUACGUGCCAGCAGCCGCGGUAAUACGUAGGUGGCAAGCGUUGUCCGGAUUUACUGGGCGUAAAGGAUGCGUAGGCGGAUUUUUAAGUGAGAUGUGAAAUACCCGGGCUUAACUUGGGCGCUGCAUUUCAAACUGGGAAUCUAGAGUGCGGGAGAGGAGAAUGGAAUUCCUAGUGUAGCGGUGAAAUGCGUAGAGAUUAGGAAGAACACCAGUGGCGAAGGCGAUUCUCUGGACCGUAACUGACGCUGAGGCAUGAAAGCGUGGGUAGCAAACAGGAUUAGAUACCCUGGUAGUCCACGCCGUAAACGAUGAGUACUAGGUGUAGGAGGUAUCGACCCCUUCUGUGCCGCAGUUAACACAAUAAGUACUCCGCCUGGGAAGUACGAUCGCAAGAUUAAAACUCAAAGGAAUUGACGGGGUCAUAGCUGUUUUCCU
Molecule: ribosomal RNA, 563 nt
Filed under: uncultured bacterium
Lineage: Bacteria
Description: partial 16S ribosomal RNA
Rfam family: Bacterial small subunit ribosomal RNA
Source: RNAcentral